GUUUCUUCAGAAGAAGUUUCUUCUCCAAUAACUUCACAGGCAAUGAAUUGAACCUGUUUGACCGCAAAAUUACAAUAAAGACAUGAAAGAUUGUAGUCCAGAACUGAACAAUAUUUUGCUUGUACCAUACAUAACAGCAUUUGUAAGGAAGUAAUAGAUGAUUCACGAUUCCCUAGUAUUCAUACUUCACUACCGCUUUCUACACAUGCUCAUUUUUCAUUUCUAUCAGCAGUGUUUGACUCUUUAGAAGAAGUGUUUGUUCUCCAUCAACUUCACAGGACAAAUUGACUGUGUUUGACAGCAAAAUUUCAACACAGGCAACAAAGUUUUGACAGCAAAAUUACCAUGAAGGGAACAACGAUUGUAGUCCAGUUUGCUGUGAGUUGAUUUUUUUUUCAGUUCUGUAGUCACUGGAGUUGAACUGUUUUGAGGAGUUGCCUCUUUCCUAUGGAUAUCAUUUUGAUAACGUUGGUUACUAGUGCAGGCACUUCAAAGUGAUAAUUAAAGCCAAGCGGUGCAUGGCCUGGCUUUGAUUUUAAUUCUAUAACUUCAACAGUGAAAUACAGGAGGAGAAGAAUGAGAGCUGCAGCAGGAAGGGAAGCAAACACGCAAACAUAAGUACAUCAUCAAAGCAGCAAGAAGACUCCAAGGAGUUAUGGUGAGGUGCAGUCCAGCAAUUCAAGAGCAGCAGUAGGAAGACAAGCCAUCAUGCAAUCAUCGGCGCAGCAUCAAAGCAGCAAGAAGACUCCAAGUUGC
Long non-coding RNA from Thrips palmi, 756 nucleotides. RefSeq lists it as uncharacterized. The transcript has 6 exons. The record is from RefSeq and is a predicted model, not a curated record. NCBI's taxonomy places the organism in Eukaryota, Metazoa, Arthropoda, Insecta, Thysanoptera, Thripidae.